RNAcentral lists this ribosomal RNA (458 nucleotides) under uncultured bacterium. RNAcentral describes it as "partial 16S ribosomal RNA". It matches the Rfam family "Bacterial small subunit ribosomal RNA", at positions 338 to 795 of the family's 1533-position model. The record is from RNAcentral.
CCUACGGGAGGCAGCAGUGGGGAAUAUUGCACAAUGGGGGAAACCCUGAUGCAGCGACGCCGCGUGAGUGAAGAAGCGUUUCGGCGCGUAAAGCUCUGUCAGCGGGGAAGAAACACGGUUCGCGAGAGCCGCGGCCGGUACCCGACCAAGAAGCCCCGGCUAACUACGUGCCAGCAGCCGCGGUAAUACGUAGGGGGCAAGCGUUCUCCGGAUUCACUGGGUGUAAAGGGUGCGUAGACGGCGCGACAAGUCUGGAGUGAAAGGGCGGGGCCCAACCCCGGGACUGCUCUGGAAACUGGCUGGCUGGAGUACAGGAGAGGUAAGUGGAAUUCGUAGUGUAGCGGUGAAAUGCGUAGAUAUUAGGAGGAACACCAGGGGCGAAGGCGGCUUACUGGACUGUAACUGACGUUGAGGCUCGAAAGCGUGGGGAGCAAACAGGAUUAGAUACCCCGGUAGUC